Molecule: ribosomal RNA, 460 nt
Filed under: uncultured bacterium
Lineage: Bacteria
Description: partial 16S ribosomal RNA
Rfam family: Bacterial small subunit ribosomal RNA
Source: RNAcentral
CCUACGGGAGGCAGCAGUGAGGAAUAUUGGUCAAUGGACGAGAGUCUGAACCAGCCAAGUAGCGUGAAGGAUGACUGCCCUAUGGGUUGUAAACUUCUUUUAUAUGGGAAUAAAAUGUUCCACGUGUGGGAUUUUGUAUGUACCCUAUGAAUAAGGAUCGGCUAACUCCGUGCCAGCAGCCGCGGUAAUACGGAGGAUCCGAGCGUUAUCCGGAUUUAUUGGGUUUAAAGGGAGCGUAGGUGGAUUGUUAAGUCAGGUGUGAAAGUUUGCGGCUCAACCGUAAAAUUGCAGUUGAAACUGGCAGUCUUGAGUACAGUAGAGGUGGGCGGAAUUCGUGGUGUAGCGGUGAAAUGCUUAGAUAUCACGAAGAACUCCGAUUGCGAAGGCAGUUCACUGGACUGCAACUGACACUGAGGCUCGAAAGUGUGGGUAUCAAACAGGAUUAGAUACCCCUGUAGUC